UUCUCGGUAGUGUAAUGAAUCAACAUGGCAAACCGAAUAUCUGUAAAUGCGGGUUCAAUUCCCGCCUAAGGUU
Molecule: transfer RNA, 73 nt
Filed under: Dictyocaulus viviparus (bovine lungworm)
Lineage: Eukaryota; Metazoa; Nematoda; Chromadorea; Rhabditida; Metastrongylidae
Rfam family: tRNA
About the family: Transfer RNA (tRNA) molecules are approximately 80 nucleotides in length. Their secondary structure includes four short double-helical elements and three loops (D, anti-codon, and T loops).
Source: Rfam by way of RNAcentral